UUACCAAUUGGCUCAGACAACGGGCCGGCAUUUGUGGCUGACUUGGUACAGAAGACAGCAAUGGUAUAGGGGAUCACAUGGAAACUACAUACCACCUAUCGACCACAAAGUUCUGGAAAGGUGGACCGGAUGAAUCGGACUAUCAAAAAUAGUUUAGGGAAAGUGUGUCAAGAAACAGGAUUAAAGUGGGUACAAGCUCUCCCUGUGGUAUUGUUUAAGAUUAGAUGUACCCUUUCUAAAAGAACAGGAUAUUCCCCUUAUGAAAUAUUAUAUCAUAGCCCCCUCCCACACUACAGGGACUCCCAGGCACUCCGCAAGAGCUAGGUGAAAUUGAGUUACAGUGAUAGCUACAGGCUUUAGGGAAGAUAACAACAAAAAAUUUCAGCCUGGGUAAGUGAGAGGUGCCCCAUCAGCUUACUCUCCCCAGUUCACCCUUUCUCCCCAGGUGAUCGGGUGUGGAUCAAGGAUUCGAACGUAGCCCCCUUGCAGCCACGGUGGAAAGGACCCCAGACCGUCGUCUUGACCACUCCCACAGCCAUAAAGGUAGAGGGAAUCCCAGCCUGGAUCCACCACAGCCACGUAAAACCUGCAGCACCUGAGACCUGGGAGGCGAGACCAAGCCCGUACAACGCCUGCAAAAAAGUAACUUUGAAGAAGACGACAAGCCCUGUUCCAGUCACACCCAGAAGCUAACUGGUCCACGCAUGGCCAAAGCAUGAGGAAACUCAUCCUGGAACUCAUUUUCCUUAAAUUCUGGAUUUGUACAGUAAGGACUUCAACUGACCUUCUUCAGACUGAGGACUGUUCCCAGUGUAUGCAUCAAGUUACUGAGGCAAACAAAGACUGGACUUACUCAUUGAGUGCAAAACACACAACAAAGGCUGAAGGCACUUCAAGCACUCGUGGUCCAAAGAUCGGGCAGAAAAAUUCAGAUGCAUCCUCACAAAAAUUAUGGCAGCAGCAAGUAAGAAGGUAAUGAUCCUGAGAAUCAGCACCCAAGACCAGUGGUCAGUCCAGCAGGAAAGAGAUAAAGGUGGCAUGGGACAAGCGCCACCCUCACCUCUGGGGACCAUCCCCCAGACACCAAGCAGGAAGACGAAGCUCAGGUCACAUUCAUCAUGGCUGAACUCCAGGUCACCUGUGGUGCAGA
Molecule: long non-coding RNA, 1150 nt
Filed under: Homo sapiens (human)
Lineage: Eukaryota; Metazoa; Chordata; Mammalia; Primates; Hominidae
Description: HSALNT0371558
Source: RNAcentral